Non-coding RNA from Pelobates cultripes (western spadefoot toad), 309 nucleotides. Lineage: Eukaryota; Metazoa; Chordata; Amphibia; Anura; Pelobatidae. The record is from the annotation of a GenBank genome assembly.
AUCCACUUCAAGGUUCAGUGGUUUGUUGACAGAUGAUAUCCCGCCCACUGUUUGCACCACUUUAGUUACAUUACAUGUAUCUUGAGCCGUAUGUGUCUUCUGCUGUGUCCCUCUGUUAUGCACCUCACUUUUAUGAGUAGCAUUCUCUACACUGUAUAUAGUUUUUAGCCAUUACAGGUAUCCAGUAGGCACGUUAUCCAGUGUGCCAGGGUAUUUAGGCAGCAUGUAUGUGUAAGUGUUAUGAUGGGGUCUGUUUUAUGUUUAGUUUACCCUUACCAGUGAUAACCUCAUGCGGACACCGUGUUGGUG